Molecule: long non-coding RNA, 2089 nt
Filed under: Capsicum annuum
Lineage: Eukaryota; Viridiplantae; Streptophyta; Magnoliopsida; Solanales; Solanaceae
Description: long non-coding RNA (CANN_LNC016737)
Source: RNAcentral
CACAACUUGUUCCAGCCUUCAACUCUUCUCUCCAACUACGCGAUCCUGUAACGAAUCUCAUUAAGAAAUUCGCUUCAGUAUCGCGCAAAGUUGUUGUUGUUCAUGAUUUCCUAACUUCGUACGUUGUUCAAGAUGUACCACAAAUACCUAAAACAGAAUGCUACUGUUUGCAUACUGUUUCUGCAUUUCUUGCUUUUACUUAUGUUUAUGAUGCUGCCAAACCACCUGUGCCACCUGAAGCUGAAGUUGUACUUGAAAAACUCCCGUCUCUCGACGGGUGUAACUCUCCUGAAAUCCUAGAAUUCGCUAAGAAGCAAAUCAAUGCGAGGGUUCAAGGAGGUGGUAAUAUUUUCAGUACUUCUCGAGUUAUCGAAGGAUUGUACCUCGAUCUACUCGCGAAGAUGAAUCCUUCUAAGGAGUUUAAGCAUUGGGCUCUUGGUCCAUUCAAUCCUGUAGAAAUUGAUGCUACUACCACUGCCAACCGCCAUUAUUCACUCGAGUGGCUCGACAAACAACCAGCGAACUCAGUGAUUUUUGUAUCGUUUGGAUCAACAACUUCGUUAUCUGAAGACGAGAUCAAUGAGCUAGCUUUUGGGCUGGAGCAGAGUCAGCAGAGGUUUAUUUGGGUCCUGAGGGACGCAGAUAAAGGAGAUAUAUUCUCUGGUGAAGUUAGAGAACGUGAACUACCUGAAGGAUACGAGAAGAGGGUAUCGGAAAGAGGAUUUGUAAUGAGAGAUUGGGCACCGCAGUUGGAAAUUUUGGCACAUCCGUCAACUGGCGGAUUCAUGAGUCAUUGCGGAUGGAACUCUUGCAUGGAAAGUAUUUCAAUGGGAGUUCCAAUAGUAGCGUGGCCAAUGCAUUCAGAUCAACCUAGAAAUGCUUUGUUCAUAGCCGAAGGAUUGAAAAUCGGGAUAUUGAUGAGAGAGUGGGAGCGAAGAAACGAAGUUGUAUCGGCUGAAACUAUCGAAAGAGUUGUGAGAACUUUAAUGGCGUCUCCGGAGGGAGAGGAGAUGAAACGGAAUGCUACAGAGCUCAAGGAAGCAGUGAAGUUAUCAGUUAUGGAGGGUGGUGUGACUCAAAAGGAAAUGGAAUCUUUUGUUGCUCACAUCACUAGAUAGAUAUUUUUAAUGUUGAAUGAUUUGUACUUCCCUAUGUUUUUUCUUCUUCUAAUAAAUGUGAUGUAUGUGGUUGUUUGUGUCCACUUAAAAUUUUUUGUCCUGUAUGAAAGAAUAAGUACUACUCCACUUUUAUUUCAUUGAAGCAAAUUUACCCCAACAUUUCUUCCUCCUUUCCAUUCACACUCCAUCUUCCAAAAAAUGACGACCACGACAACAACAACAACAAAUUAUGUAGACCAACAAUGUCAACAACACGACGUUGUUGUUGUCGUUGUUCCUACUGCACAAGGCCAUCUUCAUGCAUCCCUCGAACUCUCUCGCUGCCUCUCCGCCACCUACAAUAUCCCGUUUACUAUGUCAGCACAACAGCUCACAUCCGUCAAGCUAAGUCGCGUGCUGUGAGAUGGGACCCAUUAGAAAUCCCAAACCUAAAGUUCAUUGAUUUCCCGGUUUCGUUCGACCUUCCUCCUCCUAAUCCUGAUGCAUCCAUAAAAUUCCCUUCACAACUUGUUCCAGCUUUCAACUCUUCUCUCCAACUACGUAAUCCUAUAACGGAUCUCGUUAAGAAACUAGCUUCGAUAUCGCGCAAUGUUGUUCAAGAUGUACCACAAAUACCUAAAACAGAAUGCUACUGUUUGCAUACUGUAUCUUCAUUUCUUAUGUUUAUGAUGCUGCUAAACCGCCUGUGCCACCUGAAGCCGAAGUUGUACUUAAACAACUCCCGCCUCUUGACGGGUGUCAUUCACCUGAAAUGGAAGAAUUUGCCCAGAAACAAGUAAAUGCAAGGGUUCCUGGAGGUGGUAAUAUUUACAGUACUUCUCGAGUUAUCGAUGAAUUAUACCUCGAUCUACUAGAGAAGAUGAAUGCUUCUAAGGAUUUUAAACAUUGGGCUGUUGGUCCAUUCAAUCCGGUAGAAAUUGAGACUACUAUCACUGUCAACCGCCACUAUUCACUCGAGUGGCUCGACAAAC